CCUACGGGUGGCAGCAGUGAGGAAUAUUGGUCAAUGGACGAGAGUCUGAACCAGCCAAGCCGCGUGAAGGAUGACUGCUCUAUGGGUUGUAAACUUCUUUUAUAUGGGAAUAAAAUGUUCCACGUGUGGGAGUUUGUAUGUCCCAUAUGAAUAAGGAUCGGCUAACUCCGUGCCAGCAGCCGCGGUAAUACGGAGGAUCCGAGCGUUAUCCGGAUUUAUUGGGUGUAAAGGGAGCGUAGGUGGGUUGUUAAGUCAGUUGUGAAAGUUCGCGGCUCAACCCUAAGAUUGCAGUUGAAACUGGCAGUCUUGAGUGCUGGAGAGGUAGGCGGAAUUCGUGGUGUAGCGGUGAAAUGCUUAGAUAUCACGAAGAACUCCGAUGGCGAAGGCAGCUUACUGGACUGCAACUGACGCUGAGGCUCGAAAGUGUGGGGAGCAAACAGGAUUAGAUACCCCAGUAGUC
RNAcentral lists this ribosomal RNA (460 nucleotides) under uncultured bacterium. Its description in RNAcentral is "partial 16S ribosomal RNA". It matches the Rfam family "Bacterial small subunit ribosomal RNA", at positions 338 to 795 of the family's 1533-position model. The record is from RNAcentral.